This is a long non-coding RNA of Fukomys damarensis (Damara mole-rat), 2712 nucleotides long. RefSeq lists it as uncharacterized. The record is from RefSeq and is a predicted model, not a curated record. The transcript has 4 exons. Lineage: Eukaryota; Metazoa; Chordata; Mammalia; Rodentia; Bathyergidae.
GCCAGGUAGGCACUUAUGCUACUGAGCUACAUUCCUGGCCUGCUGUGAUAGUUUUUUUGAUGCUGAUUACUUUUGUAAAUUUUCACUUUGCUCUGGGUUUGGGAGCCAUUUGGUUCUUUCAGGUCUCACUCUUAGGUCUUCAUGGGAAGAAUAAAGCAGCAUUUAAUCUGAGGCAAUGUCUGCCCCACUCCACCUCACAUGAGCCUGCAUGGGGUAAGAGAGAGAAAACCACCAACCCUCAACCAGCAGUAGGCAGAGAACCCUGGUAUCUUAAGUUGGAGGCCACAUGGGUGCUGUCUGGAGUUCAGUGUUGCACUGGGGCCUCCUCUCUGCCAGGCACUUUCCUCAAAGGCAGAAAAGCAGCACAGUUCUCACAGUCCGUGUCCGGUGUCCUCAAACAGUGUGGCCUGUUAAAGGAGGCCCUCCUCAGUGCUCUCUCCGGCCCCUACUCUUUCCUGACUCUAUUCUUUCUUACUGGCCUCACCACCAGGAGCUCUCCUGAUCCGUUACCUACAGCCUGCAAGGUGCACACAGGACCCUGAUUUCUCCUUGAUUUGAUUGUCACCGAGCAGUCUCUGUGCCAGACUGGAUGCCAGCCUAGGAGACCAGGUUCUGCAGCCAGUGUCACAGGGAUACAAUGAGGACACAUCAAUAGUCACACAGCUUCUGCUAGAGUUUUCAGUGUGCUGGGAACCCUGCUGCUUCUCUGUGCACAAACCAUGAAGCUGACUGUUACUACCUGCUGAAACAGAGGCUCUGAGGGGCCAGGGGCUGGCCAUAGACCUGGAGAAGAAGCCCGGCAAAUUUUGCCUCUGUCAGGGCUACCCUCCACCCACUGCCCUACCUGCCUCCUACCCUCCUGUCCCCUUCUCAUCUUCCACUGGUUCUCUUACCCUCCUCCACUCCUUCCCAACAGAUUGUACAGGGAGGUGACAUGGCUGUGGGGAGAUUCAGGAUCCCCAGGGCCAGUGAGGAGGGUCUGUGGCCAAAGGAUCUUUGUGGCGGGGGGAUGUCUGUGGUUCCCUUAGGGGGAAGAGUCAACUCCAAACAUACAGAGAAAAUGAACUGCAGCAGUUGACCCUAACCCCUACCUCUCCUUAACCCUUGAGGGGCUGAGGGAGAGACAAUGAACCAAGGCCCUCUUGCUCACUGUGAAACUGCUCUGGCUGUCACACAGACUGGCAUUCUAACUAUAGAAAGGCAACUUUUUACCACUGCUAAAAAAAAAAAAAUACUGUAAGCAACAGAAACAUUUUUGAUAAGCUCAGAAUGACAGACAAACCUUAGAACCACUGUAGAUUUCACUGGGGACAGGAAAAAUGAGGUGGGCUCCUGGGCUCCUCUAUUGCCUGUAACUGCACCCCAGACUUGGACUGGGGACUGAAGCUUGGUCAUUGGUCCCUAGGCCCGAGAGUCACUGCAACAAGGAUGUGGCAGACAACUGGGGCUCUGGGUUCUGUCUGUGGCUGGGUGGGAAGGGGAAAGCCAGCUAAAUUUCCAGCAUCUUCCCAAUGGAUUCUCCCUUGGUUGUGACCCAGGAGCCAUGCUAAGUGGAAGGAGUGGCCAUUUGUGGACCUAGAGAAUGCUCCCCCUAUUUGCUUAGCAAGAGAGAAUUGAGGACAAGAAAUAGAAUACUGAAGCAGGUGGGAAUGCUGGCCUCUGCCUGCACACAGCACUUUCUGCAGUAGGAAGCUGCAUUCAGCUCUCCACAGGCCUCCAGAAAAGGGCCUGAACAUAGUUGGGACAAGAACCUGAGACUAGAACGCAGGGGCACAGUGCUCACCUCUGUCCGCUGAGCUUUUCUGAGCCUCCUCUGCUUGACUUGCCACAUCUGCCUUGCUGAGAGAGCCAUCAUUUGCAGCCACAGCUCCUUCCAAGCUUUUCUGGCUAAGAUCUUGGGCCUGGUCACUGGCUUGGCUACUCUUCCCUCUGCUGGCCAGAUGUGUAUUUGCAGAAUGAGGAAAUGACUGGAUGUCUGCCUCUCCUUGGACAAGCUAACUUCUAACUUCUGCUCAGCUGGAUUUCCACUUCCCAGCCCAGUAUUCAACCUUGUCUUUGACAUAAGAAACAUUAUGGCCAUGCCCUCACCCUGGGAACCCUGCUCCAAGGAAUCCCUGAGAGGCCCACAUGACCAGGCCUGUCAACACUACAGGACAGCUCGGUGGAGGUAGAGCUCCAUGGACCUGUCUAAGGUGGGACUGGGAUCAUGGCCAAAAGAACUUGACAGAGCCCUAGAAUAGCCCCUAAGCCUGGGGCAGCCAGUGAAGCUACACCUUGAUUUCUGAUCCACAGCAACUGAUAAUGAGUGCUCUUUACUCUAAGUUUUAAGUUUUAGGGUAUGGGACUCUAAAGUGUGUCAUGUAUCAUUGGCAUAUUUCAAGAUGGCUAGACAAACUGCAGAUCUCUGCAGCUUCAGGGAGGGCUUUGAAAUGCUGUGACAGAGAUUGACACCCACCUGAACUGAUAAACAGUGGAUGCAGGUCUGAUGUCUACCCUCUUUCUGCCUGCCUGUUACGGAUCUGGCCCAGACAGAUGACCACAGGGGUCUGUUGCUGGAAGACUGUCGGGGAAACAGGACAACCCUUGUCCCUCUGUGCCUCCCAUACUCUGCAUCCUGUGCCACUGCCCUUCCUAUAUUCUGAGUCCCUGUCUCUUGGUUUGGCUCAGUUAUCCUGCCUCAUCUCAUCCCACUUGUAUAUGACUCUUGUGCUU